AAUGGCCUAACGGCUGAACCAGCAAUUUGGGGGAAUGUAUAGUGUAAUCUAAUUGUCAUUUAAUUUAUUAAAUGCUAUAUCGACUACGUUGAAUAAAGUUCUAGGUAGGAUAAUGAUGAUGACAAUUUUCUAUCUAUAUGUCUUGACUAAAUCACGUGCCAGCAGUCGCGGUAAUACGUGGAAGACUAGUGUUAUUCAUCUUUAUUAGGUUUAAAGGGUGCCUAGACGGUAUAUUCAGCCCAAUAGAAAGGGUACGUGUGUACUAGAGUUUUAUGUGGGAAGGGGAGAACUUUUGGAGUAGAGAUACAAUUCUGUGAUAACAAGAGGACUGGUAAAGGCAAAUGCAACCUUCUAUGUAAAAACUGACGUUGAGGAACGAAGGCUUGGGUAGCGAUUAGGAUUAGAUACCCUAGUAGUCCAGGCAGAAAAUUAUGAAUGUCAUAGACUAAUUAAAAAGUCUUUUAAUGAAUCGAAAGUCUAAAAAAUAUAAAAAGAAAAAAUAAGUUUUUUCUUAGUUCAACCAAAGACUGCAUUAAAAAAACUUUUUAUAAAUAAGUCUAUAAAUAAAAGUGUAAACAUUCCACCUCAAGAGUAAUGUGGCAACACAGGAACUGAAACCAUUAGACCGUUUCUGAAACCAGUAGUGAAGUAUGUUAUUUAAUUCGAUGAUCCGCGAAAAACCUUACCACAAUUUGAAUAUUAUACAAGCGUUGCACGGCUGUCUUCAGUUGAUGUCGUGAGAUUAUGGUUAGUUCCAUUAAUUAACGUAAACCCUUGCUUUAUUUUAUGCAUGUGUUUUUCUUACUUCGUAAACACUUAAAAAGCGACAUAAAGUAGUUCUUACCUAUAUACUUUUUAGGUUUAAGAUAAAAGGGACCAAGACAAGUCAUCAUGGCCUAAAUAUUGUGGGCUAUAGACGUGCCACAUAAGCCUUUACAAAGGGAUGCAAUAUUGUGAAAUGGAGCUAAUCCCCAAAAAAGGAUAUAAUAU
RNAcentral lists this ribosomal RNA (990 nucleotides) under Chaenothecopsis sp. RNAcentral describes it as "partial small subunit ribosomal RNA". It matches the Rfam family "Bacterial small subunit ribosomal RNA", at positions 370 to 1294 of the family's 1533-position model. The record is from RNAcentral. Lineage: Eukaryota; Fungi; Ascomycota; Eurotiomycetes; Mycocaliciales; Mycocaliciaceae.